This 357-nucleotide unclassified non-coding RNA is filed under the name Acacia rhetinocarpa. RNAcentral's name for it is "partial external transcribed spacer". Lineage: Eukaryota; Viridiplantae; Streptophyta; Magnoliopsida; Fabales; Fabaceae. The record is from RNAcentral.
CACCGAACGGUCGGCAGGCGAUCCGCGUCGGUCGUGCGAGGUGGUAUGGUUCCCCAGAGGCCGGUUCUUGUGCUGCCUACCCCUUCAAGGGAAGCGGGCCACUUGAUGUAAGCCUCCAUCCUGCGCCUUUCAAUGGGCGCAGGAGGACAACAGAGCACCCCCCGCGUUCCACCGAGCCUUCUCGGUCGCGUGGCCCGCGGGGACGUGCGAUGCUCUCGGACCCAGCACACGCCGUGGGCGAGGACUCACGUCCCAGUCCCGAAAAUAAGCUCCGAUAUAAUGCUGACGGCCGCUCUCGCCCCCCGACCGCCCCAGCUGCGCGGGGGCGGGGCGCGGCGUCGCAGAGGAAUGCUACCU